RNAcentral lists this ribosomal RNA (253 nucleotides) under uncultured bacterium. RNAcentral describes it as "partial 16S ribosomal RNA". It matches the Rfam family "Bacterial small subunit ribosomal RNA", at positions 524 to 776 of the family's 1533-position model. The record is from RNAcentral.
UACGUAGGUGGCAAGCGUUGUCCGGAAUCAUUGGGUUUAAAGGGUCCGUAGGUGGACGAUUAAGUCAGGGGUGAAAGUCUGCAGCUCAACUGUAGAAUUGCCCUUGAUACUGGUUGUCUUGAAUCGUUGUGAAGUGGUUAGAAUAUGUAGUGUAGCGGUGAAAUGCAUAGAUAUUACAUAGAAUACCAAUUGCGAAGGCAGAUCACUAACAAUGUAUUGACACUGAUGGACGAAAGCGUGGGUAGCGAACAGG